AUAAAAUUGCACAGAAUCAUGGCAUUCGGCUUACGUCAUUCCUGUUUGAACGUGGAGCAAACGGCACAAACUGCGCACCAUUAAUGGGCCAGACAGACUGUCUCAGAGCCCCGGCACAAACUACAGCGUCAGGAGCUGUUUUUAGCUACCUGCUCUCACUGGGGUUCUGAGCGCUAACAAUGCAAGGGAGGAGAGUGAGAGGGACCAGCAGAAGGAGUGAGGAUCUGCCUGUUUUCUUCAUAAGGAUCACAAGUGUCUUUGAAUUGGAAGUGAGAGUGAAUUCAAAGAAUGGGCCAACUGCGAUUAAUCAAUUUCCUGUGUUAAUUGGAGCUAUUAAGGCUUUGUCAUGAUUGCUUUCAAGCCUGAGAACAACGCCCCUUGAGAAAUUUGAAGCGAGGGACUCUGGGCACCCUUCCAAGAGACAGUAUUUCUCUUUCAGAGCCUUUAUCAAUGAAGUCUUUCUUGAUUACUGUAUAUCAUAGAAAUUCCUGGCAAGGCCUGAUUGAAACAAAUGGAAUCGGAUGUAGCCUCAUCUGAAAAAGUUUAAGUCUCCACACUCAUUUAAUUAUAUUUCAACUGUAACAACUAAAAAAGAAUAACAUUUUUUAAUGAAAUACAACCAUUUGCACCUGUCUUGUGACUUCUGUGUAGGUUGUAUUCAUAUAAUAUCCAACAAUUCACGGAGAGUUGUGCGUCGAAGUAUGGUAAAAUUGUUUCACUAAUGUGCAAAUGACAGCACUGUUUGUUCAAGCAGACACAAUAGUAUUCAUAUUAAUAUUAUAGAAAUAUGGAGAAUAAAUAAUUGAAUGCAGAGUUUGAUGUACUGACGCGAAAUAAAAAAAGACUGUUUAAUGUCACAUAA
Anguilla rostrata (American eel) is the source of this 862-nucleotide long non-coding RNA. RefSeq lists it as uncharacterized. Lineage: Eukaryota; Metazoa; Chordata; Actinopteri; Anguilliformes; Anguillidae. The transcript is spliced from 5 exons. The record is from RefSeq and is a predicted model, not a curated record.